UACGUAGGGGGCUAGCGUUGUCCGGAAUCAUUGGGCGUAAAGCGCGUGUAGGCGGUCCGGUAAGUCCGCUGUGAAAGUCGGGGGCUCAACCCUCGAAUGCCGGUGGAUACUGUCGGGCUAGAGUGCGGAAGAGGCGAGUGGAAUUCCUGGUGUAGCGGUGAAAUGCGCAGAUAUCAGGAGGAACACCAAUUGCGAAGGCAGCUCGCUGGGACGUUACUGACGCUGAGACGCGAAAGCGUGGGGAGUAAACAGG
Molecule: ribosomal RNA, 253 nt
Filed under: uncultured bacterium
Lineage: Bacteria
Description: partial 16S ribosomal RNA
Rfam family: Bacterial small subunit ribosomal RNA
Source: RNAcentral